Molecule: ribosomal RNA, 253 nt
Filed under: uncultured bacterium
Lineage: Bacteria
Description: partial 16S ribosomal RNA
Rfam family: Bacterial small subunit ribosomal RNA
Source: RNAcentral
UACAGAGGGUGCGAGCGUUGUCCGGAAUCACUGGGCGUAAAGGGCGUGUAGGCGGCUGGGUAAGCCGCGUGUGAAAUCCCGGGGCUCAACCCCGGAAUGGCACGCGGGACUGCCUGGCUAGAGCAUGGUAGAGGCGAGUGGAAUUCCUGGUGUAGCGGUGGAAUGCGUAGAGAUCAGGAAGAACACCGGUGGCGAAGGCGGCGCGCUGGGCCAUUGCUGACGCUGAGGCGCGAAAGCGUGGGGAGCAAACAGG